Non-coding RNA from Homalodisca vitripennis (glassy-winged sharpshooter), 64 nucleotides. Lineage: Eukaryota; Metazoa; Arthropoda; Insecta; Hemiptera; Cicadellidae. The record is from the annotation of a RefSeq genome assembly.
AUUAAGGUGUCUGAUUAAAGUGGUAAACUGUAAAUUUACUUAUGAAUGUUAAAUUCCCUUAAUA